This 329-nucleotide ribosomal RNA is filed under the name uncultured eukaryote. RNAcentral describes it as "partial 18S ribosomal RNA". It matches the Rfam family "Eukaryotic small subunit ribosomal RNA", at positions 1469 to 1796 of the family's 1831-position model. The record is from RNAcentral.
CCCCUUAGAUGUCCUGGGCCGCACGCGCGUUACACUGAUGCAUUCAACGAGCUUAUAACCUUGGCCGAGAGGCCUGGGCAAUCUUGUUAACGUGCAUCGUGAUAGGGAUAGAUUAUUGAAAUUAUUAAUCUUGAACGAGGAAUUCCUAGUAAACGCAGAUCAUCAAUCUGCAUUGAUUACGUCCCUGCCCUUUGUACACACCGCCCGUCGCACCUACCGAUUGGAUGGUCCGGUGAAGCCUCGGGAUUGUGGUUCUUGCCGCUUUAUUGUGGCGUGACCGCGAGAACUUGUCUAAACCUUAUCAUCUAGAGGAAGGUGAAGUCGUAACA